This is a non-coding RNA of Podarcis lilfordi (Lilford's wall lizard), 7475 nucleotides long. The record is from the annotation of a GenBank genome assembly. NCBI's taxonomy places the organism in Eukaryota, Metazoa, Chordata, Lepidosauria, Squamata, Lacertidae.
GGAAACAAACUUUAUUGGUAACUCUUCAUGUCAUACAGAGGAAAAAUCCAUGUAUCUCCCUCCUGUUCAUUAUAUGUAAGUGAUUAUUAAUGGUUUAGUAAUUCAUUUGUGUAUGGAUUUUAAGUGGAUUACAAAUCCCAGUGACGACUUUGCCUCCAUAUCUACUGAAAUGACACUGUCACAGGACCAAACAACAUUGGAAGCUCAUUCAUCUGUACAUUUUCUAAUGGGAUAUCUGACUGCCUUCUGCGUUUUAUUAAGGACAAACCAGACUGUCUACGCAAGAAAAUUAAUGAACACAGAUCAGACAGAAAUGAUGGGAAUAUCCAGAACCAAUGAGAUACCAUUUCAAUCUUCCUAGCCAUUCUUUAGCGAAUUUAAAAGUUUUGUAUGCCAACAAAGCAGUUUCACCAAAGUGUCAGGGUCAGUGCAUGCACACCCCGCAAAAAAGAAAUUUUUGAAAGAAUUCAACAUGUGUUAUUCAAAAACAAAACAAAACACUGAGGCAUCAAUAUAGUAAUCAUGGGGAAAAUCAGAACUUUGUCAGACUUCCCUAUACUACACUACACAUUUCCCACCAUUUUUCUGUCCUCUCUUUAUUUCCACCUAAGCAAGGGGGCAUCCUGCUAACACAGAUUGAAAUAAUGUGAGGAAAUCAUCCUGUCGUGUGUCCCACAUGACAUACAUGCAAGUACAUUUUGAUUUUAUGGUUUAGAAUUGCUUUUAUUUUGAAUUACAUCUAGUGGGCACCAUAAUCUUGUCAGUGUUUAGGACCUCUAACAGUCUUAAUCCAGCCCUGAGAAUGGGGGGGACUGUGUGAAGCUGCAGAGUUGUAAUACAUCUUUUACACUAUCAGACUUGGACUCAUUUAAGACAGGGAGCAGCUAGCUGAACAGAUAAGGCAACUGUCUUUAGGUGUUUAUACUGUUCUGCUUUUCAUUUUGCUGUUGCCAGUUCAUAACUUACUGGGAAUGGGUCACACCCAUUUUGUCUGCACCUUUUAAUCCUUUGAAUUAACUUUAUUUGCAUCUGUGCUUUUUAUAGUAAUGAUACACACCUGCAUUGCUGGGCCUUCUGGCUCAUUUUGUAAUAACACUCUCUUCACUCACCCACCUGCUUCAUCUGUCUGAUUUGGAGGGCAAGUGCAAAUGAUAGUUUAUUUUCUGAUGCGCUGGCAAAUCGUGCUUUGUCGUGAAAGGAAGAAAACUGGAGUGAACAAGAGAAGGAAGGAGAGAGCCUGAGACCACAUUAAAUGUCAAACUCUAGUAUGGCAUUACAUGUGAACCAAGCCUUUGUCUUUCAUGCUAUAACUGAAAUACAUUUCUCUGGUUAAAUUUAAACCUAAUAACUGCAGUCAAAAACAAGCAUAUUUGGUCUCACAGGUGGGCCAUCAGAAUGCAGAUACAGUCAUAGGUUCCUUUCAGAUGCUAACAACGGCAAGCCAGGAUUUACUGGAUUUCUGUACAAGACUGUUCACUUGUAAAAUUGUUACAAGCAACUAUUAACUUUCCUACUGCAGUAACUUGCCAUACUUGGUCCUUCCACGCCACACAUAAUAGAAACACUACAGCAUGGCAAUGCAUUGCAGUAACACCUUUUUGCUAGCAGAUGCUGUGAUGUUAAUGGUUCCCUCUUAUUCCCUAGUAGUUGUAACAGCUAGGCAAGGAAAUACAUGGAUCUGAAAAUGCAGAGCUUUAAAACGAAUAUUGUGCCUCAGAGGUUCCUAUUACUUAUGUACUCCUACAACCUAUAGCAGAAGGCCAAAGGGAGAGUGGGUUUGUGGAUGAUUGCUAGUCACGAAAAUUUUGGUUCCUGUGACCCAGCCCUCCUUUGACUAAGGCCAGCUUCCUCAUUUCCAUAUUACAAACAGAAAGCAAGAGGGGGAAGUGUUGGUGGCUGCCCUUUGACCAGGGCGGGCUAUCUUAAAUAAAAGCAUCUUACAUCAUUGAGUUAAAUAACCAGGGGGAAAUCAUGUUUAAGCCACUUAUUUAAAUCAAGUUCCCCAUUUUCAGAUCCACCUAGUUCAGGUCUAGCUUUUAUAAGGUCAACACUGAAAGGUGAGCAGGGAGUACACUGUGGUGUGAUUGUACAAAUGCAUAAGGUACAUCGCACAGAAAGCGUAUUGUUCCAAGAGAACAGUGUCCAUUCAUAGAAUUGUAGAGUUGGAAGAUACCCCCCAAGGGUCAUCUUGUCCAACUCCCUGCAAUGCAGGAAUCUCAACUAAAGCAUCCAUGGCAGAUGGCCAUCCAAACUCUGCUUAAAAACCUCCAGUGAAGCAGAGCCCACCACCUCCCAAGAAAGUGCGUUCCACUGUAGAACAACUACUGUCAGAAAAUUCUUCCUGGUGUUUAGCUGGAAUCUUCUUUCUUUUAACUUGACUCAAUUGGUUCAGGUCCUAGCCUCCAGAGCAGGAGAAAACAAGCUUUCUUCAUGUGACAGCCCUUGAGAUGGUUGAAGAUUGCUAUCAUAUCUCCUCUCAGUCUCCUCCUUACCAGGCUAAACAUACCCAGCAGCAGUUUGACUUCAGCCCCAGAGGCACACUCCAUGGUCUCUCAACAACAAAUGUCCAUUAAAUACUUGCUUAGGAAAUGUAUGCAGGAACCAGCUCCAGGAAUGGAGACAAGGUCUCCAUAUGGGAGCAGGAAUCUUCUGUACAUAGGAAACGGGACCCCAACGUGGGCUAUUUAUUUCAUUUGUACCUCACUUUUUCUCCAGUGGGCUCAAGGUAGUAGAUAUGCCCCCCUUGCAUUUUAUUCUCACAACAGUUCUAUAAGGAAGGUUAGUCUGAGACUCUUCCAUUGGUCCAGGAUUGCCUAGGAAGCUUCAUUGUCUGAGUGAAGAUUUGACUCUAGGACUCCAAAGUCUAAGACUCUAACCAGUACGCUACACUAGCUCUCCGAUGCCUACUGUAACAGGUAGUGCCGGUGGCACAAGGAUCCAGCUCUAGGGUCAGGGAAUAUGAAAACCCCCUCCUGCAAUCAUUGACACACCCCAGGUGGGUGUUGUUGUUGUUGUAAUAAAAGCGAGCUGUAAGUGUUCUUCUUUCUUGCUUAUUUCAUCACAUUCCGACCAUCUUGACCUCCCACCCAGGGGCGGAGGAAGGGGGUGCGUUGGGUGCAGUCCACCCUCGGUGUCACCACUGAGGGGGGGUGACAAAAUGCCGGUCGGCACUCACCGCUGGGCCUGCAGCGUGCCCGAGCCACACCUCAGUGGCUUGGGCGUGUGUAGGCUCCAUGCUGCCCAAAAGGUCCGUCCGCUGCCUCCCCCCCACAGCUGUAGGGUGGUUAAGUGGGAGGAGGCAUGCAGACUCUGGAGGCCCUGCGGUGCGCCCCACCCCUAUGGGCAGCUUCCCCUUCCCUGGGUGCGCCACCCCAGGCGCCCAAGCGGUUUCCUCCACCGCUGCACCCACCCCCAGCCUCAAGAAGAAUUGAAAGGCCCCUGCCUCUAAUUUGAAGUUGUGGGGGGUGGGGGGUACUGCAUUUUAGCCCACUGCCACAUUGUGGAUUGAGAUGUAGAGCAGAUCGAUUGAUCUGAGUGCAUCGUCCCUGAGUAUGACUUACCUGGUUGUCACCCUAUGUAAAGAAGGGCUUCCCCCAUUUACUAAUCUGUGUCUGCUCUCCAGUACUCCUCAACUGCUAGGGCGGGUCUGCCCCCUUUAUACCCAUACAUACGCUUCAGGUUACAUACGCUUCAGGCUACAGACUCUGCUAACCCAGAAAUAGUACCUCAGGUUAAGAACUUUGCUUCAGGAUGAGAACAGAAAUCGGGCUCCAGCAGCACGGCGGCACCAGGAGGCCCCCAUUAGCGAAAGUGGUCUUCAGGUUAUGAACAGUUUCAGGUUAAGAAUGGACCUCCAGAACGAAUUAAGUACUUAACCCGAGGUACCAGUGUAUAUCUAUAUAUCUAUAGCCCCUUUGUUGGACAGUUCUUACUGUGGAGCCAUUCACUUUCACUAAUGAGCAAGAUGGAUAUGCCUGAUUCUCCCCACCCCCAUAUAAUUAGUUAUUAAGAUGCAGGUUCAAUACAUGGCGAAAGUGAAGAUAAAACACAGCUUUAUGCUUUUUUGUUAUGCAGGGUGAUAUCCUGUACCCACUCCUGGCUAUACCCAGCCUGCUCUGUGAAUUAAUCAGUUGUCGUUUGCAGAGCUACACUAGCAGCAAGCUUAUCAAUAUUAAUUCAGUUGGGCUGAGAUGGGGAGGAGGAGGGAUUUUAGUAUGACCUUUCCAAGCCCAUGCUGGCUCAGACGGUCAAAAAGCAGCUGAGGAGAGAGAAGCAGGGCAGGUAAUGGCAUGUGGCUUUAGUAUCUUUUCUGCCAUCGUAAUCCAAAACAGCAAUAAAAUCAUAUCACUUUUCACAGUCAGUAUGAAAGAGCAUAUUGUGUUGGUAAUCUUUGGGCUGGAUUAAUCCCUGGCUGAAACACCCUCACCCUCAGGGUGUGUUGUGUGUGUCCUCUGUUUCUGUAAGAGAAAACCACCGGCAACCAGCACAAAGGAAGCUGAAAUAGGUGAAGUGUUUAAUGGCAGAAUGUUUAUUUAAUCAAAAUCAUUCUGCAUGAAGUGCGGUGAGCAGUGAAGAGGGUGAGAGGGAACAAAGCCAUCCACAUCUGUUAUUCUAUUGUUGAGCACAAUUGUUCACAGUAGCUAAUUCAGACGUUUGCUUUGUCGUCGUAUUCUGUUAGAAAGGAACUGGGGUGUUCUGAUCUCAUUACAAAUGAUAUCCCUUGAAUAGGUUUGUAAAAUUGUUGUUGAUUGCUAAAGGAUAUUCUAGAAAAUAAUUAAGGAUGUCAGAAAUCUGAUUGCUGUGCAUUAGCACUGUGCUUUUUCAUUUUCAUUUUUUUUAUUUGUUUGCUCCAAGAUGAAAUACAAUAGCUUUCUGCCCUUAUUUAUUGUUUUCUGUUGGUGCCUAAAUGCAUAAAUAAUUUCUGGCAUCUUGUGAUGCAAAACCUGUGAUGCAUGCUGGAUUUAACAAAGAAAAACUGAUCCAGAUUUUUUUUUUAUAAUGUGUUAUGUGUGGUUUGUAAUGUGCACUUCACUAACGAAGCUGAGGGUGUGUUUCUCCUUUCUUUGUCAGGAUCCAUCAUGUCUGACAAACCAGAUUUUGCAGAAAUCGAAACAUUUGACAAAACCAAACUGAAAAAAACAGAAACCAGAGAAAAAAAUCCACUGCCCACCAAGGAAAGUAAGUAAAUCUAAUUCAGCCUGGAUGUACAAUUAAUAAUUUGCUCAAUGUGCAUAAUAAAUAAAUACUCAGAGAGCCAAUAGUCCUAGUUCCUCAGGAAUAACACUUUUAAGUAAUUAUUAAUUUGGAUUUGUUAUCUGCAUGCACUUAGCUAUUAUUUAUAUUGGCCAAUUAAAUUAGUUAUUGUGGCUUUUAAACUGUGUGCACUGUUUGCUAAAGGAGAUAAUAUAACAUGGACUUUGUGCAAGUUAUUUUGCCGGUAUGUCCAGAAGCAUGAUAAUUAUAUAGAUUUCAAAUCUAAAGUUUCCUUUAAUAAAUCACCAUAGAGGCAGACAUGUUGUACAAUUACAGCAUGCCCACACAAAGGAUGCUGUGAAAUUAUAUAGCCUGACAGCUUUGUGUCGAUAAAACUUACACCAGUAUUCCACUACAAUAAAUCUGCCAGUUUUUCAAGUGAUACAAAACUCUUUUAUUUUUGUAUUUAAUAAACAGUACACCAUUUAAUAAAAAGUACAUCUUAUUACUAUAUGAGACAAUUACACUCCAAGGUUGCUUAGUGCUGCCCUCUUCCGGAUUGUAUCUACAUCUACUGUAUAGUACUUGAUGAAGUAAACUCCUGCCGACAUUUAUGCCGCAAUCAGUUUUUUAGGUGGUGCAAGACUGUUUGUUGUUGUUGCUGCUGCUCUUUGAGAAUUUAACAAAUGUAGAAUUAAUCAGGUUAUAUAUUAUCCCUGUUUCACUAGUGUAAAAAUCAGAGUUUUAAUUUUGUUCUGUAGCAGUAGUCAGCAAAAGGAUUAAACCCCAGGCCUUCAGAGCUGCUUGCAUGACAUUUAGGAGAAAGCUGAUCUAAUCUCUCCUUAGUAUAUGAGGCUUUUAAAAAAAGGCAUUUGAUAUAGAUUGCUGGCUCAUCUGUUGGUAAGAAUGUCUCUCUAGCCAUUCAGUUUGUGAGACAGCCAGUGCUUUUUUUCUGGGGGUACGCAUACCCUUAAACAUUUUGUGAAUCUAACUUUGGCCUGAUUGAGGGACAGUAUUUCAAUAUGAGUAGGAAAAUGAGAGUGCCCCUAAACAUUUUUUUUAGGGGGGGGAUCAAUGGAUACAGGCAUAGACCCUUGUGCCCAAUACUAUUUUGGGGGAAGUUGCUAUAAUUCUUAAGGACAGACCUGCACUGGAUCUACCCUUUACAGCAGGGUAGGGGAACCUGUGACAACAUGGUGCUUUCUAGACAUUGUUGGACUACAGCUCCCAUCACCCCUGAUGGUUAGCCAUCCUGGCUGUGGCCGACAUACACACUUGACAUUAUAUAUGAUGCAUAUUUAUGUACUUCACAAUGGAGAAUAUUAGGCCCUGGUUAUUUAUAACAGAGGCAAAUAACAAGAGGUCUGACACGCCAGAUUUUUGCAAUGCUUGGAAACUACCACUAGCAUAGCCCAGUGUAACAUAAAUCCUCACUGCAUUGCCCACCUAUAAGUAAGACCAUCAGAGCAGGGACUUGGGGCUCAAGGCCAGCAGCCCAGUUAAUACAGCAAGCUGGAGGGCUCGCCACAUUUCAAAUAGGCUAACAUCAACCAUCAUUCUCUAAAUGCAUAGGCUUCUAUUCCUGCAAAACUCACCGAGAUUCCCAGCCACCCCCCAUCCAGUAAUAUUUGAUUCAGUAGAGAUUGUACAGUUAUUAAUGACAGCAGUCUGCGGACAGAAAGGGCUUUAAUUACACUUGUUUUGACAAAUUGGUGAUGAAUAAGAGGUUAUUCUUUGAUAAGUGCUUAAAAAAAGCACAAGGGCUUUACAAGUGUCCAAUUUUGGCAAACGAGAUUUCUCUUGUUUUCUUGGCAGCCAUUGAACAAGAAAAGAAAAGCAAAAACACACCCUGAAGUUGGACCAGAAGAUAUGGCCAAUAUAUCCUGCUGUGGGGUUUUAAGUUCUAAGUUUUUUAACUUUGCUAUUCAUUGACUUGGCUCAGCUUUUCUUCUCCAUUUUCAAAGCACUUUUUUUCCCUUUAUUGGUGCAGCAGAGAUUUUUUCAAGCAAAUGCUCUGAAAUCAAUCAAAUCUGAUUUUUAUAAUUCCCCAAAGGGACUGCAAUCCUGUGUCCAAUGUACAUAUGACAAUUUGUCAAAGAUGUACACUUUCGCUGUCUGUCAAUAGAAAAUAUUAUUUUCAUAUAGUAUCCUCUGUAGAACCUCACAAUAAACCACUUUUAUGUGUUAUCCUUAUUAAGUAUUGAAAUACGCUGGCACAAAAGAGUUCCACAUCCAGAAAAGCCUAUCUGUGAAUGCUCUCAGAAAUAAGAUGUAACUAUUGG